Long non-coding RNA from Megalopta genalis, 1156 nucleotides. RefSeq lists it as uncharacterized. Lineage: Eukaryota; Metazoa; Arthropoda; Insecta; Hymenoptera; Halictidae. The record is from RefSeq and is a predicted model, not a curated record.
AAUACAUAGCUGGGACACAUAUGUCCUGAUAGACUCCAAAAGGUUAAGGGCUAGAAAUCAGUUCAUUAACACGUACACAGCUGCGACGGUCGCAUAUGCUUAAUGAAUAGUAAGACUUGGUGAAUUCAAAUUGGAGAAGAAGACUGCAGAAGCGCCUCGGAAUAUAUAGAAACCCUGCGGCGGCGGCACAGUUGGUGAACACACAAGACGUCGUUGGUUUGAGAAAUUUCGUUUAGGUGACAGAAGCUUCCACGAACAAGAAAGCAGAGGGUGCAAACCAAUAGAAAUUUCGAAGACUGUGUUAACGCUGUGUGCGACUUACAGACGGUAGCAUUAAGGGAAACGUAGUUGACAUCGGAAAGAAGAUGUCAAGAAUCAAAUGAGGGGUAUAAGUCAUUGAUGACAUACUGUAGAGUGUUCUGUGGACACGCGAAGAGGAAGGCUACAUCUACCACCAAGUAUCAAGGGGUGACUUAUAAAUCGACACGUAGUAUAGGUCGGCUCGUAGGCGAACAAAUAUUUUAAUAUCGAUUGUGAACGGACAAACAGUGCAGAAUGAUUGAUAUUCAGAUAAGUGGAACCGUGCUGGUUUUUGUCAAAACAAACUGUAAACCAACUGAGAUUAUAUUCAUGAAGGAACAAGCAAAAUAGUUUGCAACACAAAUUUGUCUCUAAACGAUGUCAAUGGACAUGAAAUGAUCAUUUUACGGAUGGGAGUUAUAAUAAAAAUAUUGUUUGCUUUCUAUCUCAUUUGAGAAAACUAACUUUUGUGAGACUUUCUACUUGACAAUUCGUUAAUGUUUCUAAUCUUUUAAAAUGCACUAUAUUCUCGAUGAAAAUCUCGUGAAUAAGUGAUGCAGUGUUAAUUUUACCUUGAAAAGUCAGUCUUGCUCAACAGGUGUUUAUCAAAAGCUUACGCAUUUAUAAUAAAAAUGGGUUCGUGAAAGUUUAAGCAAUAAAAAUAUUUAAAGGAUUUGAGGACAUCUACGUAUUAUUUCCAGCUCAAUGAAAUUAUCAAAGAAAAAAAGAAAUUUUUAUGUGACACAUCUUAAUUUGACACACUUCAUCUUAAUUGAUGAAGAUAAAUUUUUUUUUUCCAUAAAAUGAUUUGCGGACUACUAAUGUAUGACCUAAAAUAAAAAAAAAAUGAUUUGAU